UUGCGCAUGCGGGAAACCCACGCUGAGGGAAGAAUCAUGGGAAAGAGUAGAGACGGGGUUCCACCGUGUUAGCCAGGAUGGUCUCGAUUUCCUGACCUCGUCAUCCUCCCGCCUUGGCCUCCCAAAGUGCUGGGAUUACAGGCUUGAGCCACCGCGCCCCGCUCUUUCGUGUUCCAAAGGCUUUUUAAAUAAACUUCCACUCCUGUCCUGGAUUCUGCUUUAUGGCCCUCAGUCGAAUUCUUUCUUCUGAGGAGGCAAGGACUGAAGUUGCUUCUGACCAGUACAGGAGAAAACGAAUACAGCAGGGAUGACUUCCACCAGCUCCACUUUGCAGCUCUGAGGUGUAUUAAAAAUUUGUUUUUCAGAAACCUAGAGCCCCACCAAAUGAAUCCGCUGGCACGUGGACCUCAGAUGGGGGAAACUGAGGACUGAAUUCUGACCACCCUCCUUUGUUCUAAAUUUCUUCCUGAAGGACCUGGAAGAAGUCAUGCCACGGGCCAGACCUUAACAUUCCUUUCGGCUUACCCCAGGAUUUCAGACAAAGCUUCACUUUCCUAACCAGUCACAAAUCAGAGAAUUUUUGAUUCCACCUAUGACCUGUGAGCUCCUGCUUCAAGAUAUUCCACCUUUUUUAGGCCAAACCAAUGUAUAACCUCCAAGUGUCGAUUUACACUUUCGACUGUAACUUCUGCUUUCCUGAGAUUUACCCCUGCCUUUAAAAACCCUUGCUUGUAAUCCCUCAGGGAGGCCGUGUAUUUAUUAAUCAUGAGCUGCCCAAUUCUCCUUGCUUGGUGCCCUGCAAAUAAACACCCUCUUUUCUCCCAC
This 825-nucleotide long non-coding RNA is filed under the name Homo sapiens (human). Its description in RNAcentral is "HSALNT0345056". Lineage: Eukaryota; Metazoa; Chordata; Mammalia; Primates; Hominidae. The record is from RNAcentral.